RNAcentral lists this long non-coding RNA (291 nucleotides) under Musa acuminata (dwarf banana). RNAcentral's name for it is "long non-coding RNA (MACU_LNC011043)". The record is from RNAcentral. Lineage: Eukaryota; Viridiplantae; Streptophyta; Magnoliopsida; Zingiberales; Musaceae.
UCGGAAAAGUUCGUAAGAGUGCACAAGGAUGUUGAUUUUGGACUCUUUCACUCGGCUAGUGCCUUCAUGAGUGAUCUCAAGAGUUCUCCAAAUAUCAAAAGCCGAAUCACACAUUGAAACACGAUUAAAUUCGUUUUUGUCUAGUGCACAAAACAAGGCAUUCAUAGCCUUUGCAUUUAAAGCAAAAAUCUUCUUCUCCGAUUCAUUCCAUUCGCUCAUCGGAAGAGAAGAUUUUUUAAAUCCAUUCUCGACAAUAGACCAAAGCUCAAAGUCCAUAGAAAUAAGGAAGAU